This 698-nucleotide long non-coding RNA is filed under the name Brassica napus (rape). RNAcentral describes it as "long non-coding RNA (BNAP_LNC010015)". Lineage: Eukaryota; Viridiplantae; Streptophyta; Magnoliopsida; Brassicales; Brassicaceae. The record is from RNAcentral.
AGCCUCAGCUACAAGAGCUGUCGGUGAGUUCCCAAGUUCUAAUAACCUAAGACUGCAGAACCUAGUUGAGUCGCAGCUCGAAAUAACAAAAACAGAAAGUUGCUUAAUUGCUCUAAGUGCUAAGUUUUCUCUGGAAAAGUCCUCCCUUUGUGCCUCUCGCCUAGGACUCCUUAUAUACUCCUCCAAGGUCGGUUUUAACUUUUCCCUCCCUGUCCUUACGCCGUCUUAAAUAAAAAAUGGAGAUAUUCCAUUUUUUCCGAUCUUCAUGUUUAUCCGAAGAAACUUAACAUUUUUUCAGCGGAAACUUAUCUUUAUAUUUGUUUUUAUAAAAUAAAAACAUAAACCGUCAUAGUAUCUACGAGCUCAUUCUUAAAGAAUCGUAAGUGGGCUUGUAGUAGCGUUUUAGAGCUCGUUGGGCCGUCUUUCGACAUGAAACGUUUGUUACGACUUUCUUUUCGACAAAAACAAGUUCUCGCGGUUUUUAUCUUAAAUUUUAAACGGUAACUUUGAUCGGAAUGAUGUGAGAAAUGAUAUGGCUGCGGUACAUGGGAGCUAGCAUUGAGGAACAGACGAGAAUGCAUGGAUUUGGGUCGUACCCGUUGAUCGAUGUCCGAGACAGUUCGAUCACUACGUAGCGACCUGAUCCGCGCUGGAUCGGUCGCUACGUAGCGACCGAACAAAAGGCUUGGUCGGUCGCU